GUGCCAGCAGCCGCGGUAAUACGUAGGUGGCAAGCGUUGUCCGGAAUUAUUGGGCGUAAAGGGCUCGCAGGCGGUUCUUAAGUCUGAUGUGAAAGCCCCCGGCUCAACCGGGGAGGGUCAUUGGAAACUGGGGAACUUGAGUGCAGAAGAGGAGAGUGGAAUUCCACGUGUAGCGGUGAAAUGCGUAGAGAUGUGGAGGAACACCAGUGGCGAAGGCGACUCUCUGGUCUGUAACUGACGCUGAGGAGCGAAAGCGUGGGGAGCGAACAGGAUUAGAUACCCUGGUAGUCCACGCCGUAAACGAUGAGUGCUAAGUGUUAGGGGGUUUCCGCCCCUUAGUGCUGCAGCUAACGCAUUAAGCACUCCGCCUGGGGAGUACGGUCGCAAGACUGAAACUCAAAGGAAUUGACGGGGGCCCGCACAAGCGGUGGAGCAUGUGGUUUAAUUCGAAGCAACGCGAAGAACCUUACCAGGUCUUGACAUCCUCUGACAAUCCUAGAGAUAGGACGUCCCCUUCGGGGGCAGAGUGACAGGUGGUGCAUGGUUGUCGUCAGCUCGUGUCGUGAGAUGUUGGGUUAAGUCCCGCAACGAGCGCAACCCU
Molecule: ribosomal RNA, 601 nt
Filed under: Bacillus amyloliquefaciens
Lineage: Bacteria; Bacillati; Bacillota; Bacilli; Caryophanales; Bacillaceae
Description: bacterial SSU rRNA
Rfam family: Bacterial small subunit ribosomal RNA
Source: RNAcentral